Long non-coding RNA from Pollicipes pollicipes, 797 nucleotides. RefSeq lists it as uncharacterized. The record is from RefSeq and is a predicted model, not a curated record. The transcript is spliced from 3 exons. Lineage: Eukaryota; Metazoa; Arthropoda; Thecostraca; Pollicipedomorpha; Pollicipedidae.
ACGCCUUUGCUCGAUCGCAGAAGUUGCAGUCAUGCGCUUAUGAUGUCAAUGUGGGAUCAGUAUCGGCCGUUGCAAGCCUGAACCUUCCUCGCACAAGCAGAAGUAUUUCAAAUUGAACACAAUUGGCAAGAUUCGACUUGACGGACAUGAUCUGAACUCUGGUUCUGUUCGAUUAUGUGAACUGGCAUCUUUGAGGAAAUCAGUGUGUAGAUCUCCAAAAAGACGUUUAGGCUGGUUCCAACAGACGGGUCAAGCAAUGCGUAAGCUCUGGACACGCACCCAGUGCCGCUGGAUUGCGAGUCCAGCAUCUUCCGUCCAGGCCACGGAGACGGCCUGCUCUGGACACGUACCCAGUGCCGCUGGAUUGCGAGUCCAGCACGUUUCGUCUAGACCACGGAGACCGCCCGCUCUGGACACGUACCCAGUGCCGCUGGAUUGCGAGUCCAGCAUGUUUCGUCUAGACCACGGAAACGGCCCGCUCUGGACACGUACCCAGUGCCGCUGGAUUGUGAGUCCAGCAUGUUUGGUCUAGAUCGCAGGGCCGGCCGGGUAUUUACGGCUCAAACUAAGCCUGAUGCGAUCAAGCAGCUGGCACCAUUCGACUCGGCAUUAGAUUGUCGGCCCAGAAAGGUGUCACUAACGCUUUAUUGCGCAGGGCUUCACGUUUCCGGUCUAACCUCCACCCGUGUUCGAUCAACUUUCAUCUUGCACCCGAAAACAUUUAUGCAGUUGGUAUGUACAUUCGAGUAAAAGAGGCUUAGAUCGCUUUUAACAUACCGGUUUGCAAUACUUGUCGA